AGGGCCAUCGCUCAGUGGCAGAGUACAUGCUUUGCACACAGAAAGUUCCCAGGUUCAAUCCCUGGUGUUCCCA
Non-coding RNA from Podarcis lilfordi (Lilford's wall lizard), 73 nucleotides. Lineage: Eukaryota; Metazoa; Chordata; Lepidosauria; Squamata; Lacertidae. The record is from the annotation of a GenBank genome assembly.